GAUGAAGAACGCAGCGAAAUGCGAUACGUAAUGUGAAUUGCAAAUUCAGUGAAUCAUCGAGUUUUUGAACGCACAUUGCGCCCCCUGGUAUUCCGGGGGGCAUGCCUGUCCGAGCGUCAUUGCUGCCCUCAAGCACGGCUUGUGUGUUGGGCCCCGUCCUCCGAUCCCGGGGGACGGGCCCGAAAGGCAGCGGCGGCACCGCGUCCGGUCCUCGAGCGUAUGGGGCUUUGUCACCCGCUCUGUAGGCCCGGCCGGCGCUUGCCGAUCAACCCAAAUUUUUAUCCAGGUUGACCUCGGAUCAGGUAGGGAUACCCGCUGAACUUAAGCAUAUCAAUAAGCGGAGGA
This 345-nucleotide unclassified non-coding RNA is filed under the name soil metagenome. RNAcentral's name for it is "partial contains 5.8S ribosomal RNA, internal transcribed spacer 2, and large subunit ribosomal RNA". The stretch from base 1 to 119 matches the Rfam family "5.8S ribosomal RNA", at positions 35 to 154 of the family's 154-position model. The record is from RNAcentral.